Long non-coding RNA from Passer domesticus (house sparrow), 4063 nucleotides. RefSeq lists it as uncharacterized. The transcript is spliced from 5 exons. The record is from RefSeq and is a predicted model, not a curated record. NCBI's taxonomy places the organism in Eukaryota, Metazoa, Chordata, Aves, Passeriformes, Passeridae.
UAUUCUAUACUAAAGAAAAACCCAUGACUCCUUACAGACAGUCACGACACAACUUUGACCUAAUUAGUCAAUCAGUCAAAACAACCAUCACCAGAGCCCAAUUAACAAAUCACUUUUGAUAUCACAAUCUCCAUAACACAUUCCACAUGUGCCAAACAACAGGAGCAGCAAAUAGAGAUAAGAAUUGUUUUCUCUUCUUUCUCUGUGCUUUCUCACUGCCUUCCCCAGGAGAAAUCCUGGGAAGGUUGUGCUUGCUGGUCUCUGUGAAGAGAGCUGCAUCCAUACACAAUGUCCUGGCUUCUCUUGAAAAAGGAGGAUUAGAGCUUCUUGACACUAUUUCUCUGGUUUAAAGCAGAUGGCCCAAAGAAGACUCCCAUUUUCCCAGAGGUGUGGAAAGAAUUAUAUUUAUCCAGAUGCCCACCUAAAAUCUCUCUUAGAAUGUGUCAAAACAAUGACAGUUGGAGAGCUGACAGGUGCAUGCAGCAGUGAGCCUCUGAGAGGUCUCAAACAUUUCAGCUGAUGAAAGCAAAGUAGUAACCGGGCAAGAAAAAGCAGGGACCACAAAAGAACUUGGAUAAUAAAUAUUCCUCCGCAGGGACCCAAUCAGCUCCACCCAAGGAGAUCAGCAGUUCAGUGUUGCUUCCUUCCAGGGUAAAGCGAGAGGAUACUGUGCAGCAUCUCCUGAGAGACCAGGAAAUCUUCUGGAGGCUUUUCUCUUCAUGGAAAAGAGAGGAAAUUCCAUUUUGUUGGAAGAGCACUGCUGUCUACACAUUUUUUGUAAGAAAUGCCAUUUGAUGAGUUCAGGUCAGGAUUCCUGUCUCCUGUGUCAACCCUCUGACACAGGCACUGAGUCACAUGACACUGUCUUUACCUCAUCCUCAGAAAACUAUGCCUUCACCAAAUGUCUGUAUAUCUCCUGGUCUUUAGGUGUGGUGUCUCAGUUUGCGUGUGCAGGAGGGAAGGUGAAUGAUCUAUACAGGCAUAUUGCAUUAAUGGGUGGAUUUUUUUGAAGCCUCUGUGUGUGUGAGAAUGUAAGACUUUGAGGAUGGGGGUGACCCCUGCUGAUGUCACUGAGAAGUUUUGACAUUGGAAAAGGGCAUGAGGAAAAGAGGUGAUCAGUGGUGGGACCCCUUGAGUCAACCACAAAAACUGAGCUUAGCUGUGAUUCUUAAGCUGAUAUCCAUGAGUUUUAGAUGCUAAACAGAUUUGCUGCUGCACAGGGCUGAUUUAAAUGAAGAGUAUGACAAAACUUUAGAGGUAUACUGAAGCUUGACACUGAGCAUUGCUUCUUGGAUUUUUUUGGAAAUGAGGGGCUCCAGACACCACCAGUGAUUUUGCACAUCUAAGAAUGAGAGUGCACCUGAGUUGCACAUCUACCCUGUCAGCCCUGCAGCAGGCUUCUGUCUUUGAACAUAACCUCAGAAGCUAUGAAGGAUCUUGGGCUACAGAAAUGGGUACAAAAACCUGUUGAAUGAGCAUUAUAUUUGAUUGUGGUGCCAUGUUCAGACCCCAAACAUGAGUCCCUGCCUGCAGUUUCACAGCUCAGGAGCUCGUUCUUGUAAAACUUUGUGCCCCUGGACUCAUCAAGUCACAGAACCUCCCUCUCCAGCUCCUCCUGGCCCUGCCCACGCUGGCCAUCCAUGGCACCAGGAGGAGGCAGCCUGUGAGGGAGAUGCCAAGCAGCAUGAGCCCUGCUUUCACUUCCUACUCACUCCCUCUUCCAGGCACAGCACUGCUGGUCAGGGUCCACCACUCCCUAAGAUGAGCAUGGGACAUGCCAGGGUGUUCUCUCCAGCAUCAUCCAGGUAGUUUUCAACACUAGGUUCUUUCUUUUUCCUAAUUAGCUCUUUAAUUGCUAUUUUUGCCAAGCCUUUUUUUUUUUUUUUUUUUUUGUCCCAUGAGGGCUUAGGGCUUGGUUAGGCGGGAUUAAGACCCUUGAAGGGACACGGUAAAGGUUCUCUGCAGUUUGCCAGCAUAAAGCUUUUCAUCUCACUAAAAUCCACAGGUAUGCUUUCUGUGAGAGAAUGAAUUUUCCUUCUUUUUUCCCUUCUCUACCUCUGACAAAGGAAGCACUACUCCUGCUUUUCAGUGCCCCUGUAGGAUUUUUUUCCUUAUCCAUAACAUUCCCCCUACCUCCUUCCACAUAUCCCAGGGAGAAUCAGACCACCGCUAUACCACUGCAGCUUCGAGUCAUGCUGCUUCCUUCAUCCUCCACUGCCUGCCUGGCUGUGAAGGCAUCCUAACAACUCCCACAGCCUCUGAGUGCAGCAGGAUGGGCAGAGCUACUGGCAGAGCUUGCUUUCAGCUCUCGGAGCUGAAGCGGUUGACAGAUGUUCGGAGGAUUUCUUGUCUCUGGACCAGCACUUCAUCUGUUCCAAGUUAUUCAAAACACAAACAGUGGGUUGGCAGGAGUGAAAUAUGUUCAGAACCAGGAUGUCAAAACAGAAAUAUAUUUUUAAAAGACAAGUGUCAAAAAAAAAAAAAAAGGAAGGUGUUCAUGCAGUUUAUAGGAAGAUGUACUGAAAUAGUUGAGAUUUUCUUCUUUUAACCCCUUGGGCUCCCAUCUGACACGCUAUUCCACUAUGUCUAUAGUGGUUUUCUUGCUUAAAUGUUAACAAGGGCAUUUUGGGUCCUGGGUCCCUCGUUUACUGAUGGAUGGAUUUGCCACAUUUACAAGGUGUUUGGACUACCAGUUAGCAACAUAAUUUGGGACUAUCCUGUCAAGCGUACUGUUGUAAAAUUGAAGUGAGAUCCUGAAAUGUGUUGAGUGGUACUGUUGAACAGAGUGGUGGAGGAGACAUUUAGUAAGAAAGAAAAUUAUUCCGAAAAAAUAGAGAGGAGCAGGGCAGAGAUAGAGAGGAGAGCAUGGCAGAAGUAAAAGAUGGCUCGAAUCUAGAGAAGAGAGGCAUCUCUGCUUAUUUCAAUUCAUAGUCUAUAUAGAAAGAAGAGUUUCAGGGUCCUGUAGCAGAUGCAGCUUGCCUGCAGCCUCCUUUGGUUACAUGUGCAUAGUAAGGCAUGGGUGGUAGCUGACAGCAAAGUGAAUCAGCACCAGAGCCCUCUGAAAAGAGCUGUGCUGCUUUGGGUGAGUUUUAGUAAUCAGGUGUUUGUAACUCCAGUCACAGAUAGAAAAGAAUUCCUCUGCAAAACCAGUUCUAAUAAAAUUUGAGAGAAAGGAUAGGAAGCAAGUGUUUAAAUAGGCAAUGGAAACAAAGAAAAAGGUAAAAUUAUUUCAAUUAUGCUUUUUUCUUAUUUAGUGUGGUGAUUACCUCAGCAAAAGAGAGGAACAAAAAAAUAUAAAAAAACAACAGUCCAAGAAUGUUGAAAGUUUUCAUGUCCUAUCAAAAUGCAUUUUGGCCAGCAAACGAUCUGUCACUAUUACAAUAAGGAUGUCAUAGGAUACGAGUAUCAUCCCAUUAUUGCUCUCCACUAAUAAAUCAGCAAAAUUCUGCUUUGCUGUCUUUCCCCAGUUGUGGAAAUAAUUCUUUCUUCAGCUGUUGGUGCUGUUCACAUGGGUCUCAUCCACAUAAUUUUCUGUUCUCGUUGUAAUCCUUGUCAUCAGGACAGAGUCACGCAGUAAUGUUACCCAAUCUAAUGAUAAUCUUUGACCUGCAAAUUAAUCUGUUGCUAUGCUUUAUUUUUGAUGAGAACAUUUUUGAUGACAGUGGAUGCUUGGUGUCUUAUUGCUGUUCAGUGUCGUGACAAUGUGCUCGGUAAGAACAUUUUGGGAUUUUUAGAAGCUUUCUGUUCUCAUGGCAAAUUGUACUGAUGCUCUGGCAUUCUCCGUUUUUGUUGAGAUUUGAUGUGAAACUGAAAGCUCCAAAUGUACAUACAUGGUGGAUUUAUGAAUUCUAGUUUUGAGAUUGCAGAACUUUUAUUACCUUUAUAACAGUCUGGACUGUGACUUAGUGCCCAUUCAUUUUUCUUCCCAAUAGAUAGAUGGCUGUGUGACUAGUUAAAAGUGAGAGGACUGCUUUUCUUUUUAUAUUUGUGCAAUUCUGCUUGCUUCAGACCAGCUGAACCUGACUGAUAUUAAUGCCAAUAAAGAAUUGAGCAAAAUCUGCCU